GUAGUCAUAUGCUUGUCUCAAAGAUUAAGCCAUGCAUGUCUAAGUAUAAGCGCCUUAUACUGUGAAACUGCGAAUGGCUCAUUAUAUCAGUAAUAGUUUAUUUGAUGGUCCCUUACUACCUGGAUACCCGUAGUAAUUCUAGAGCUAAUACAUGCACUACGGUCCCAACUGCCUCGGCGGGCGGGAUGCCUUUAUUAGAUCGAAACCAAUGCGGCGCAAGCCGAUGUUGUGGUGAAUCAUGAUAACCUAGCGAAUCGCAUGCCUUCUGGGCAGCGAUGUUUCAUUCAAGUUUCUGCCCUAUCAGCUUCGGAUGGUAGGGUAUUGGCCUACCAUGGCUUCAACGGGUAACGGGGAAU
Molecule: ribosomal RNA, 356 nt
Filed under: uncultured fungus
Lineage: Eukaryota; Fungi
Description: SSU rRNA
Rfam family: Eukaryotic small subunit ribosomal RNA
Source: RNAcentral